AGUGGGGAAUAUUGCACAAUGGGCGAAAGCCUGAUGCAGCCAUGCCGCGUGUAUGAAGAAGGCCUUCGGGUUGUAAAGUACUUUCAGCAGUGAGGAAGAGUAUGUAGUUAAUAACUGCAUGCUUUGACGUUAGCUGCAGAAGAAGCACCGGCUAACUCCGUGCCAGCAGCCGCGGUAAUACGGAGGGUGCGAGCGUUAAUCGGAAUUACUGGGCGUAAAGCGCAUGCAGGUGGUUUGUUAAGUCAGAUGUGAAAGCCCGGGGCUCAACCUCGGAAUUGCAUUUGAAACUGGCAGGCUAGAGUACUGUAGAGGGGGGUAGAAUUUCAGGUGUAGCGGUGAAAUGCGUAGAGAUCUGAAGGAAUACCAGUGGCGAAGGCGGCCCCCUGGACAGAUACUGACACUCAGAUGCGAAAGCGUGGGGAGCAAA
Molecule: ribosomal RNA, 427 nt
Filed under: uncultured Vibrio sp.
Lineage: Bacteria; Pseudomonadati; Pseudomonadota; Gammaproteobacteria; Vibrionales; Vibrionaceae
Description: bacterial SSU rRNA
Rfam family: Bacterial small subunit ribosomal RNA
Source: RNAcentral